UAAAGUCUAACCUGCCCACUGAAAAUUUUUAAAUGGCCGCAGUAUUUUAACUGUGCAAAGGUAGCAUAAUCAUUAGUCUUUUAAUUGAAGGCUGGAAUGAAUGGUUGGACGAAAUAUUAACUGUUUCAUUUAAAUUUUUUAUAGAAUUUUAUUUUUUAGUCAAAAAGCUAAAAUUUAUUUAAAAGACGAGAAGACCCUAUAAAUCUUUAUAUUUUAUUUAUUUUAAUUAUAAAGAUUAUUUUUAUUAUAAUAAAUAAAAAUAUUUUAUUGGGGUGAUAUUAAAAUUUAAAAAACUUUUAAUGAUUAAAAUCAUUAAUGUAUGAAUAUUUGAUCCAUUAAUAAUGAUAAAAAAUUUAAGUUACUUUAGGGAUAACAGCGUAAUUUUUUUGGAGAGUUCAUAUCGAUAAAAAAGAUUGCGACCUCGAUGUUGGAUUAAGAUAUAAUUUUGGGUGUAGCCGUUCAAAUUUUAAGUCUGUUC
Molecule: ribosomal RNA, 478 nt
Filed under: Drosophila americana americana
Lineage: Eukaryota; Metazoa; Arthropoda; Insecta; Diptera; Drosophilidae
Description: partial 16S ribosomal RNA
Rfam family: Bacterial large subunit ribosomal RNA
Source: RNAcentral